RNAcentral lists this ribosomal RNA (484 nucleotides) under uncultured bacterium. RNAcentral describes it as "partial 16S ribosomal RNA". It matches the Rfam family "Bacterial small subunit ribosomal RNA", at positions 29 to 507 of the family's 1533-position model. The record is from RNAcentral.
AUUGAACGCUGGCGGCAUGCUUUACACAUGCAAGUCGAACGGCAGCGCGGGCUUCGGCCUGGCGGCGAGUGGCGAACGGGUGAGUAAUACAUCGGAACGUGCCCAGUAGUGGGGGAUAGCUCGGCGAAAGCCGGAUUAAUACCGCAUACGACCUGAGGGUGAAAGCGGGGGAUCUUCGGACCUCGCGCUAUUGGAGCGGCCGAUGGCAGAUUAGCUAGUUGGUGGGGUAAAGGCCUACCAAGGCGACGAUCUGUAGCUGGUCUGAGAGGACGACCAGCCACACUGGGACUGAGACACGGCCCAGACUGCUACGGGAGGCAGCAGUGGGGAAUUUUGGACAAUGGGCGAAAGCCUGAUCCAGCAAUGCCGCGUGUGUGAUGAAGGCCUUCGGGUUGUAAAGCACUUUUGGCGGGAACGAAAAGGACUGUGCCAAUACCACGGUUCGAUGACGGUACCCGCAGAAUAAGCACCGGCUAACUACGUG